Molecule: ribosomal RNA, 576 nt
Filed under: uncultured eukaryote
Lineage: Eukaryota
Description: SSU rRNA
Rfam family: Eukaryotic small subunit ribosomal RNA
Source: RNAcentral
UAUUUAUUAGAUAAAAAACCAAUGCCCUUCGGGGCUCCUUGGUGAAUCAUAAUAACUUAACGAAUCGCAUGGCCUUGCGCCGGCGAUGGUUCAUUCAAAUUUCUGCCCUAUCAACUUUCGAUGGUAGGAUAGUGGCCUACCAUGGUAUCAACGGGUAACGGGGAAUUAGGGUUCGACUCCGGAGAGGGAGCCUGAGAAACGGCUACCACAUCCAUGGAAGGCAGCAGGCGCGCAAAUUACCCAAUCCCGACACGGGGAGGUAGUGACAAUAAAUACUGAUACAGGGCUCUUUUGGGUCUUGUAAUUGGAAUGAGUACAAUUUAAAUCCCUUAACGAGGAACAAUUGGAGGGCAAGUCUGGUGCCAGCAGCCGCGGUAAUUCCAGCUCCAAUAGCGUAUAUUAAAGUUGUUGCAGUUAAAAAGCUCGUAGUUGAACCUUGGGCCUGGCUGGCCGGUCCGCCUCACCGCGUGUACUGGUCCGGCCGGGCCUUUCCUUCUGGGGAACCUCAUGCCCUUCACUGGGCGUGUUGGGGAACCAGGACUUUUACUUUGAAAAAAUUAGAGUGUUCAAAGCAGG